This 463-nucleotide ribosomal RNA is filed under the name uncultured bacterium. RNAcentral describes it as "bacterial SSU rRNA". It matches the Rfam family "Bacterial small subunit ribosomal RNA", at positions 331 to 792 of the family's 1533-position model. The record is from RNAcentral.
CCAGACUCCUACGGGAGGCAGCAGUGAGGAAUAUUGGUCAAUGGGCGAGAGCCUGAACCAGCCAAGUCGCGUGAAGGAUGACGGCCCUACGGGUUGUAAACCUCUUUUGUCGGGGAGCAAAGCGAACCACGUGUGGUUCAUUGAGAGUACCCGAAGAAAAAGCAUCGGCUAACUCCGUGCCAGCAGCCGCGGUAAUACGGAGGAUGCGAGCGUUAUCCGGAUUUAUUGGGUUUAAAGGGUGCGCAGGCGGAGGUGCAAGUCAGCGGUCAAAUUGCGGGGCUCAACCCCGUACUGCCGUUGAAACUGCAUCCCUUGAGUGCGCGAGAAGUAUGCGGAAUGCGUGGUGUAGCGGUGAAAUGCAUAGAUAUCACGCAGAACUUCGAUUGCGAAGGCAGCAUACCGGCGCGCAACUGACGCUCAUGCACGAAAGCGUGGGUAUCGAACAGGAUUAGAUACCCCCGUA